GCCGGCGUUACCGCCCGAAAGGAAGAUGGCGGCGAGGGCCACGUAUCGGGAUUGCCACGGCGUGGGAGGAGGCAAAAAUGGGAAACGAAAGAGGUAUCUCGAGAGAGAAACAGGUUGCAACCAAACAGAGGUAUUUUGCCCCGGGAUUUCCUCUCCCUGGACUUACAGUGAGAAAGGGAUCCUCUGCCUACCGCCCGGACUCCACAAGGAACUCGUUACACCUGCCUUGGGCAGACCCACCCAUCCAGUUCCCGUGCACCGGAAGGCGAUCUGCCUCGGGGUGGGCGGUGUGUCAACCUGCGCGCCUGCCCAGCAGCCGCUAAGCGCUCAAGGGCGCGGUAAAUCCCGGCUGCGCGAUCCCUGCAGAAGCAGUGCGCAUGCGUCGGUGCGCGGGUCAAGGGUCAGCCCACAAAAUGGCUGCGGCGGUGACCUGUCGGCUUCUUGGCCGGGGCGGCGCAGUGGUGUUGAGCCUGCCCCGGGGCGCCCGGUGUUUCGGGAUGCAUGCCUCUCUGGCCGGGGAGAAGGUCACGCACACUGGCCAGCACCUCAGGCCCGCCGACGCCCCUUGGCUUCCUGCGUACCGAGCUGCCUCGGCCUAGCGCUGGCCGCGCGGCCACACACCAUGGGUCCGUGGCGCUGGUCUUGGAGCCUGAGGGUGGGGCCGCCCCGUUCGGAUGACAGCCCAGCGCCCCGUCUGACCCUCUAUCUGCCGUGGGUGGAACCGGCCCGCUGCCGCGCAGUGCUCGUCAUGCCCGUGUCGGAUGACUGCCAUUGUCACCUUAGGGGACUCGCUGAUGAUGUCCUGGCCGCACAGCUCUACCUUGUCCCUCACGUUUGAUUGUUUAUGAUGAUAAAGACUACAGGAAAAUUCGAUUUAUUGGUCGUCAGAAAGAGGUGAAUGAUAACUUCGCCAUUGAUUUGAUAGCAGAGCAACCCGUGAGCGAAGUUGGCAGUCGGGUGAUAGCGUGUGACGGUGGCGGGGGCGCUCUUGGCCACCCCAAAGUGUACAUAAACUUG
Non-coding RNA from Manis javanica (Malayan pangolin), 1017 nucleotides. The record is from RefSeq and is a predicted model, not a curated record. NCBI's taxonomy places the organism in Eukaryota, Metazoa, Chordata, Mammalia, Pholidota, Manidae.